This is a transfer RNA of Sandaracinus amylolyticus, 74 nucleotides long. It matches the Rfam family "tRNA". Rfam says of the family: Transfer RNA (tRNA) molecules are approximately 80 nucleotides in length. Their secondary structure includes four short double-helical elements and three loops (D, anti-codon, and T loops). The record is from Rfam. NCBI's taxonomy places the organism in Bacteria, Pseudomonadati, Myxococcota, Polyangiales, Sandaracinaceae.
GGGGCUAUAGCUCAGGUGGUUAGAGCGCACCCCUGAUAAGGGUGAGGUCGUUAGUUCGAGUCUAACUAGCCCCA